GUGGUAGUGCAUCAGACAAUGAGAUCACUCAUAACACAGCUGAUACCAUCGUGUUACUUGUUAGGAUUGGGAAACACUGGCAAGUUUUGCAACCCGAUGUUACAAGAGUACUGUAGGAAAUUAGCACAAUUUGCUUGAUACAAGAUUAACAACUGCUAUCACUGCCCAAAACCAACUUUUUCUUCUGUGGAUUGAAGUAUAUGCGUCAGCCGAGGAACCUUCUUUCACUGUUGACAGCCUUACCAUCACAAGAGCUAUCUGAGCACAUGAAUAUGCCAUGUGAAAGAUGCAAUCCGUAGCCUGUCCAAUCUGUCCAAGAAAUGCCUCGCUCACAGCAAGCCCUGUGGCUGCGGCUGGGUUUCUCCAAGAGUACUCCAUAGUGGUGGCUUUUGAAAGUUUUUGUUGAGUCCAAAUAUAUAAACUAAUUUUCCGAUUUUGAAUUUUUCAAUGACCUUGGACGCAGAAAUGUUCUAUAUCAAAGUUGUAGUGUUUGACGAGAUUUAAAACUUUAUUGUUGAAAGUUUUCUCAUUUAACAUUACUUAUGAGCCACAAUAUUGAUUGUAAGAUUUAUAUAUAUUAGUAUAAAUAGAUAGUAUCGUAGAAUUAGACAUAAGUGAUUGCAUGGUGUGGUGGUAAGGUAGGGAUCGCGCGAGGUAUAGGUUGUGGGAUCGAAUCUAUGUUGUCACUUAUUAAAAACAUGUGAAAAAUAAAUCAUGUAAGCUGUGGUUAGUCUAGCUAUAUUAGAAAUAUUUUUUAAUUUUUAUUAGCCUCUAAAUAUUUUUAAAAAAUGAGAAUUAUUUAGAGAGAUAGUUGACUUAAGUCAACCACCUCUGAAAAUCGAUUUUUAUCAGCGGUUGACUUAAGAUAACCGCCUCUGAAAAAUGAUUUUCAGCAUCAGUUUUAAAACCACCUCUGAAAAUCACUUAUCUUUAGUGACGGUGGCACUACAGCGGUUGUGCUGACCGCCUCUGAAAACCUAUUUUACCCGCCUCAAAAGAAGUUUUGUGUAGUAGUGAAUGGAGGAAGACAUGGCAACCACCUCCAAUCAAUGGUCACUGUUAAUGGGCAGAUUGCCUCGGUAAAUCAGUAGAGAAAACAAAAAAAAUAAAAAGCCCACAGCCUAGACCUAACGGGCCUUGACCUAGGACUCCACCAAUGCCACUACACGUCAAUAUCGCUAGGGAAAUGGGCCCAGCCCUGUGCGCACCACAAUUGAGGUUGCUUGAUCCGCCGAGUGCAUGUGCCCUGUCGCUGGAUCUGGCCACCGCACCUUCACCGGAGCAGGGGCCACCGUGCCUCCGCCUCACACCACAACACCUCCACUAGAUCGGGCCGCAUGCACCCUCUCCUGUCACAUCCCAAAGGUGAUAAAAGGGGGAGCACGACACUGCCGCCGUGAGGACGAGGAGCGUGCACAAUACUAUAGAGAAACUUAACUGUGGCAUGCAAAAGGCAUUAACUGAGGCUGUUUUUGCAACCGCCUCUAACGAAAGGUCACUGUAAAUCAAUGAUUUACCAAGGCAAUUCAAAUGCCUACCAUGUUAAAUAAAAUAAAAAACCAAAUAAAUAAGAAAACCCAUCGACAGCCCAUCCACAGGUGGCUGCUGCUGCUGCUACUUGCCAAUGCUAGCAUCCAUAGGACCGCUGGGGGUAUGUCGCUUGCCAUCUAAUCGAGCCUUCGGCCACUGGAUCUGGGAGCAAUGGAGGGAGGGGGAGCACCACCAGGUUCGAUCACCCUCACUGUCGCAGUUCGUGCCCAUGAUGCCAGAUCCGGCCAUUCCCACAGCUAUGAUGCUAGUAAUCUGGCCACCCCCAAUGCAUGUGACUCUGGAUCUAUGAGAGAGAGGGUGAGAGACAGAUCCUGCCGAUCUAAGGAGAGAGAGGAUGGGACAUACUUCUACACCGGAUCCACGCUGUCGUGGCCAAGGAGAGCACGUCCACCGCCGCCGCUGUAAGGGAGAGGGUGGCCACCAUCCACCACACCUGCCAGGAGGCCUGCCUCGCUCUCGCUAGGAUGUCAUGUGCCUGCAUUGCGCCCAACAUGAGCACGGGCAUCGCUACCCAGGGGCCUCAUAGAGAGGGAGGGAGUGGAUGAAGCGGUGCCGCCACCGUGCGUCAUGGUUUGCAGUGAGGGAGAGGUUCCUCCGACCAAAUCUGGGAGGGAGGGGAGAGGAACAGGAACCGUCGCCAUGUGCUGCAGUCUGCAGGGAGGAAGAGGAGGGAGAGGUGUUGCUGACCAUAUAUGAGAGGGAGGGAAGAGAUGGAGAUAGUGGAGGAGGGAGCGACGGGGUGGGCAGGUGACUCGGGAUGAGGGAGACAUUGAGUUGGGGUCCGACUAGGACUAGGAGAGAGUGAGGGAGUUAGGAUUUCUAAUGAUUUUCUCUAUAUAUGAGAGAUGGUAUUGGGCUGGUGUGGGCUAGCGGGUUGGGCUUUAUUUACCGUAGCUGUUGAAAUACAAUGCCCGCCUCAGUUAAUGAUUUACGUAGGCGGUUGUGUUACGAUGUCCAUUUCGGUUAAUAUAUAUUAACCAAGGCGGUUGCUGGCAUGGCUACCUAGCCUCGUAUAACCGGGGUGGGCAACAGGGCCACCCGCCUCUGAGCCCAAAAACCAAACACUGUCCAAAAGGAAAAAGUCUACAUAGCCCCCCAAACUAUCUAAAGUGGAAUACUUCACCCUCCAAACUAUAAAACCAGAUAUUCUACCCCCUGAACUUUCAAAACCGGUCAAAUAACCCCCUCGAGUGGUUUUAGAGGGUGGUUUUGUCUUUUUCUUUUUUAUUUAUUUCCGCUGAAUCUUUGAAAAAUCAUAAUAAAUCACAGAAAAAUCAUAAAAUAAAAAAUUUAAUUUUGUUGGACUCCUAACGAGUAGAUCUACAUAGUGAAUAUAUAAUAUGAUAUACUUUAGUACAAAGUUUUUUAUGUAGCUUUAAAUCUAUGUUUUUUGUAAUUAAUUAGAAUAAUUCAUAUAUGU
Molecule: long non-coding RNA, 2971 nt
Filed under: Sorghum bicolor (sorghum)
Lineage: Eukaryota; Viridiplantae; Streptophyta; Magnoliopsida; Poales; Poaceae
Description: long non-coding RNA (SBIC_LNC009546)
Source: RNAcentral